This is a long non-coding RNA of Galeopterus variegatus (Sunda flying lemur), 302 nucleotides long. RefSeq lists it as uncharacterized. The transcript is spliced from 3 exons. NCBI's taxonomy places the organism in Eukaryota, Metazoa, Chordata, Mammalia, Dermoptera, Cynocephalidae. The record is from RefSeq and is a predicted model, not a curated record.
AUAACUCAGGCACUUUGGACACGGUGGGUGCUGUGGUUGUGGACCAAGAAGGAAACGUUGCUGCUGCUGUCUCCAGUGGAGGCUUGGCCUUGAAACAUCCAGGGAGAGUUGGGCAGGCUGCACUUUAUGGAUGUGGCUGCUGGGCUGAAAAUACUGGAGCUCAAAAUCCCUAUUCCACAGCUGUGAGUACCUCAGGAUGUGGAGAGCAUCUCGUGCGCACCAUACUGGCUAGAGAAUGUUCACACGCUUUACAAGCUGAAGAUGCUCACCAAGCUCUGUUGGAGACUAUGCAAAACAAGUUU